Long non-coding RNA from Nerophis ophidion (straightnose pipefish), 1654 nucleotides. RefSeq lists it as uncharacterized. NCBI's taxonomy places the organism in Eukaryota, Metazoa, Chordata, Actinopteri, Syngnathiformes, Syngnathidae. The record is from RefSeq and is a predicted model, not a curated record. The transcript has 7 exons.
GACAAAAGAGAAGCAGACAUGUCCAGUUAGCUCGUACAAGCCUUGGAAAAGAUAAUUCUGUGCUGUUCUCCCAGGAGCUUCUUCCACGCUCGAACCCUGCAAGAUGGAGGUCAACAAGCACUUUUGGAACAGCGAACACCCUGCACUGCUGACGGUUAGGAGUCGGAGUUUGCAAUCACAUACGUCCACCAGCACAUCUGCCGAGCUCAUCAGGUGUGGCGGGAUACAAGAGCGGAAGGCUGCCCGGAACUUUAGGCUGGUGGAUCACCACAAGAUACAAGCCCCUACUUAUCAACCUGGACGAGAGAUAUAGCUGUCGUCUCGGGACUUACCAUUGGCUUGCUUCUCCCAGGUUCAUACAGCCCUUCAAGAUCACCAGGAUCAUCAACCCUGCGGCGGUUGAACUCCAGCUGCCUCCAUCCAAGAAGUGACAUCUGGUGGUCCACAUCUCCAACCACAAGCCAGUUUCCACCAGUCCGCUCAUCCUCCUCUUUUGGUUGGUCACCCAGAGAACACUGUGAAGACCAUUUUGGACUCCAGAAGGUCAACCAGGGGAGUUCAGUAUCUACUUGACUUGGAAGGCUACGGUCCUAUUGAUUGCUCAUGGGUCUCCAGCUCCUGUGCCCUCAAUCCAUCUCUUCUGCGUGACUUCCACUCUCUGCAUCUUUGAGAAACCAGGAUCUGACUGAUGAACUUAGACAACUUGCACCUGCUGAAACUGAAUAAAAGGCUCGGAAAGUGAAUUGUGACAGAAAGGGUAGCAUGUCCAGGUGACUCUCUGACUGUCGGCUUGACUGAGUGCCAGCCAAGCGCCGCCACCAAGAGGAAGGAGGCGGAGGAUGCAGAUGAAACAGGAAGCGAUGACUUCUGGGCAACCAGUCUCAUGCGGUGGUCCUAUCUCUCAACAGCGUGCGUACAGGCCUGAAAACACCUGGGGAUCCACCGGGAGGAGCUGGACGAAGUGGCUGGGGAGAGGGGAGUCUGGGCUUCCCUGCUUAGGCUGCUGCCCCCGCGACCCGACUUCGGAAAAGCGGAAGAAGAUAUGGACAUGCUGAGGAGUAUGCAACAUUUUUUUUAGGAAAUAUUUUCUUGCGACCCAGCCUCACCCAGACUCUGCAUCCAGUAGCUCCCAGGUGAAGUGAGUUUGAAACCCCUGCUUUAAACCAUAACCAAACAUGCAUCACUAAAGCUAUUGUUUUGGCAAACUCUACACAAGGCCAAAGCCUUCACCCUCACAGAAGCCUCAUGUGUCCAAAUGUGAGUUUGGCUACCAUUUCCCCCAAAGGACACAACUGGAAAUACAGACACAAUUUCCCAACAGCUGAUGACCAUCAGUAAUCAGGAAGGUUUUCACCUGAAGCAAUCAACUCCACUCCUUUUAAGUCUUCAGCUCCAGCUCAAACUUCAGGCCAACAAACACUGCUCGAGGAGAUUUUACCAAAUACAGUAGUGACAACUGUUUACAGAGACCAGGGUGGCUGACGAGAGAGAUUCCCAUUGUCUGCAUGGAUGUCUUGCUGACACAUGGACAAACACCACCCAAAAUGUCAUCACAGUUGAUACAGGUAAGUGACUAACAAGCAGGCAUCAGUAGGGAAGGGUAUCAUGCACAUUAAAAUAAAUGCUGGUACCAAAUCGGUACUUUGAAAACGGA